Molecule: ribosomal RNA, 436 nt
Filed under: uncultured bacterium
Lineage: Bacteria
Description: partial 16S ribosomal RNA
Rfam family: Bacterial small subunit ribosomal RNA
Source: RNAcentral
AACGAACGCUGGCGGCAUGCCUAACACAUGCAAGUCGAACGAUGGUCUUCGGAUCAUAGUGGCGCACGGGUGCGUAACGCGUGGGAAUCUGCCCUUGGGUUCGGAAUAACAGUUGGAAACGACUGCUAAUACCGGAUGAUGUCGAUAAGACCAAAGAUUUAUCGCCCGAGGAUGAGCCCGCGUCGGAUUAGCUAGUUGGUGGGGUAAAGGCCUACCAAGGCGACGAUCCGUAGCUGGUCUGAGAGGAUGAUCAGCCACACUGGGACUGAGACACGGCCCAGACUCCUACGGGAGGCAGCAGUGGGGAAUGUUGGACAAUGGGCGCAAGCCUGAUCCAGCAAUGCCGCGUGAGUGAUGAAGGCCUUAGGGUUGUAAAGCUCUUUUACCCGGGAAGAUAAUGACUGUACCGGGAGAAUAAGCCCCGGCUAACUCCGUG